AGUGAACGCUGGCGGUAGGCCUAACACAUGCAAGUCGAACGGCAGCACAGUAAGAGCUUGCUCUUACGGGUGGCGAGUGGCGGACGGGUGAGGAAUACAUCGGAAUCUACUUUUUCGUGGGGGAUAACGUAGGGAAACUUACGCUAAUACCGCAUACGACCUACGGGUGAAAGCAGGGGAUCUUCGGACCUUGCGCGAUUGAAUGAGCCGAUGUCGGAUUAGCUAGUUGGCGGGGUAAAGGCCCACCAAGGCGACGAUCCGUAGCUGGUCUGAGAGGAUGACCCGCCACACUGGAACGGAGCCACGGUCCAGCCUCCUACGGGAGGCAGCGGGGGGGAAUAUUGGACAAUGGGCGCAAGCCUGAUCCAGCCAUCCCGCGUGGGUGAAGAAGGCCUUCGGGUUGUAAACCCCUUUUGUGGGGAAAGAAAAGCAGCAGUUUAAUCCCCCGCUGUUCUGACGGUACCAAAAGAAUAACCACCGGCUAACUUCGUG
This 492-nucleotide ribosomal RNA is filed under the name uncultured bacterium. RNAcentral describes it as "partial 16S ribosomal RNA". It matches the Rfam family "Bacterial small subunit ribosomal RNA", at positions 29 to 507 of the family's 1533-position model. The record is from RNAcentral.